GUCCUGGCAGUAAACGGUGCACGUUUGGUGUGAGCGGAUUCGACCCCGUUCGUGCCGGAGCUAACGCGUUAAACGUGCCGCCUGGGAAGUACGGUCGCAAGAUUAAAACUCAAAGAAAUUGACGGGGCCCGCACAAGCGGUGGAGUAUGUGGCUUAAUUCGAUGCAACGCGAAGAACCUUACCAGGGUUUGACAUGCACUGUGUCGGCGAUGAAAGUCGCCUAGCUGUAGCAAUACAGCGCUUUGCACAGGUGCUGCAUGGCUGUCGU
Molecule: ribosomal RNA, 268 nt
Filed under: uncultured bacterium
Lineage: Bacteria
Description: partial 16S ribosomal RNA
Rfam family: Bacterial small subunit ribosomal RNA
Source: RNAcentral